AUACAACACAGGGGAGAUCCCAUGCUCAUGAAAGUAGUUUUCCCAGGGCAUGAGGCCUGUUCCUUGUACUCUAGGCAGGCUGACUCCUACAAGUUUCCCCAAAUGUGGGAAACUUUACUGCACAAUUUUGUGGUAAUGGGGGACUGUUUUUUUCACUUUCCCUCU
This 165-nucleotide small nuclear RNA is filed under the name Crocodylus porosus (Australian saltwater crocodile). RNAcentral's name for it is "U1 spliceosomal RNA (ENSCPRG00005016648.1)". It matches the Rfam family "U1 spliceosomal RNA". From Rfam's summary of the family: U1 is a small nuclear RNA (snRNA) component of the spliceosome (involved in pre-mRNA splicing). Its 5' end forms complementary base pairs with the 5' splice junction, thus defining the 5' donor site of an intron. Lineage: Eukaryota; Metazoa; Chordata; Crocodylia; Crocodylidae. The record is from RNAcentral.